AACGAACGCUGGCGGCAUGCCUAACACAUGCAAGUCGAACGAACCCUUCGGGGUUAGUGGCGCACGGGUGCGUAACGCGUGGGAACCUGCCUUUAGGUUCGGAAUAACAGUUAGAAAUGACUGCUAAUACCGGAUAAUGUCUUCGGACCAAAGAUUUAUCGCCUUUAGAUGGGCCCGCGUAGGAUUAGGUAGUUGGUGGGGUAAAGGCCUACCAAGCCGACGAUCCUUAGCUGGUCUGAGAGGAUGAUCAGCCACACUGGGACUGAGACACGGCCCAGACUCCUACGGGAGGCAGCAGUGGGGAAUAUUGGACAAUGGGCGAAAGCCUGAUCCAGCAAUGCCGCGUGAGUGAUGAAGGCCUUAGGGUUGUAAAGCUCUUUUACCAGGGAUGAUAAUGACAGUAC
Molecule: ribosomal RNA, 404 nt
Filed under: uncultured bacterium
Lineage: Bacteria
Description: bacterial SSU rRNA
Rfam family: Bacterial small subunit ribosomal RNA
Source: RNAcentral